Molecule: ribosomal RNA, 1555 nt
Filed under: Vibrio europaeus
Lineage: Bacteria; Pseudomonadati; Pseudomonadota; Gammaproteobacteria; Vibrionales; Vibrionaceae
Description: bacterial SSU rRNA
Rfam family: Bacterial small subunit ribosomal RNA
Source: RNAcentral
AAAUUGAAGAGUUUGAUCAUGGCUCAGAUUGAACGCUGGCGGCAGGCCUAACACAUGCAAGUCGAGCGGAAACGAGUUAACUGAACCUUCGGGGGACGUUAACGGCGUCGAGCGGCGGACGGGUGAGUAAUGCCUAGGAAAUUGCCCUGAUGUGGGGGAUAACCAUUGGAAACGAUGGCUAAUACCGCAUAAUGCCUUCGGGCCAAAGAGGGGGACCUUCGGGCCUCUCGCGUCAGGAUAUGCCUAGGUGGGAUUAGCUAGUUGGUGAGGUAAGGGCUCACCAAGGCGACGAUCCCUAGCUGGUCUGAGAGGAUGAUCAGCCACACUGGAACUGAGACACGGUCCAGACUCCUACGGGAGGCAGCAGUGGGGAAUAUUGCACAAUGGGCGCAAGCCUGAUGCAGCCAUGCCGCGUGUAUGAAGAAGGCCUUCGGGUUGUAAAGUACUUUCAGCAGUGAGGAAGGUGGUGUAGUUAAUAACUGCAUCAUUUGACGUUAGCUGCAGAAGAAGCACCGGCUAACUCCGUGCCAGCAGCCGCGGUAAUACGGAGGGUGCGAGCGUUAAUCGGAAUUACUGGGCGUAAAGCGCAUGCAGGUGGUCUGUUAAGUCAGAUGUGAAAGCCCGGGGCUCAACCUCGGAAUUGCAUUUGAAACUGGCAGACUAGAGUACUGUAGAGGGGGGUAGAAUUUCAGGUGUAGCGGUGAAAUGCGUAGAGAUCUGAAGGAAUACCGGUGGCGAAGGCGGCCCCCUGGACAGAUACUGACACUCAGAUGCGAAAGCGUGGGGAGCAAACAGGAUUAGAUACCCUGGUAGUCCACGCCGUAAACGAUGUCUACUUGGAGGUUGUGGCCUUGAGCCGUGGCUUUCGGAGCUAACGCGUUAAGUAGACCGCCUGGGGAGUACGGUCGCAAGAUUAAAACUCAAAUGAAUUGACGGGGGCCCGCACAAGCGGUGGAGCAUGUGGUUUAAUUCGAUGCAACGCGAAGAACCUUACCUACUCUUGACAUCCAGAGAAGCCAGUAGAGAUACAGGUGUGUGCCUUCGGGAACUCUGAGACAGGUGCUGCAUGGCUGUCGUCAGCUCGUGUUGUGAAAUGUUGGGUUAAGUCCCGCAACGAGCGCAACCCUUAUCCUUGUUUGCCAGCGAGUAAUGUCGGGAACUCCAGGGAGACUGCCGGUGAUAAACCGGAGGAAGGUGGGGACGACGUCAAGUCAUCAUGGCCCUUACGAGUAGGGCUACACACGUGCUACAAUGGCGCAUACAGAGGGCAGCAAGCUAGCGAUAGUGAGCGAAUCCCAAAAAGUGCGUCGUAGUCCGGAUUGGAGUCUGCAACUCGACUCCAUGAAGUCGGAAUCGCUAGUAAUCGUGGAUCAGAAUGCCACGGUGAAUACGUUCCCGGGCCUUGUACACACCGCCCGUCACACCAUGGGAGUGGGCUGCAAAAGAAGUAGGUAGUUUAACCUUCGGGAGAACGCUUACCACUUUGUGGUUCAUGACUGGGGUGAAGUCGUAACAAGGUAGCCCUAGGGGAACCUGGGGCUGGAUCACCUCCUUA